Non-coding RNA from Doryrhamphus excisus (bluestripe pipefish), 1380 nucleotides. The record is from RefSeq and is a predicted model, not a curated record. Lineage: Eukaryota; Metazoa; Chordata; Actinopteri; Syngnathiformes; Syngnathidae.
UUAUCUCAAUGAGUUAUUUAUUUUUCUUAUCGUGUUUACUCUAUUUUCAUCGCUUUCCUUGUAUGUGCUUUAUUUUAUCUUUUCACUUCUGCUCCUCCCGGCCUUCCGUAGUUGCCCCCAGCUAUGGCAGCACUUCCUCUUUGCCACACCACGUGGUUGGCAUCGAUGAGGGUGAGUUCAGGGUGCAGAAGUGGAGAGGAAAAUAACUUUAUUUUCAUUCUUUUGUCCUUCAGAGUCCUUAAGGGUUCACGAGUCAGCCCAACUAGUCUACAUGUGUUUUGUGGACUUGGAGAUGGCACUGGACUAUGUGCCUUGAGGAAUUCUAUGGAGUACUCAGAGUCACGAGUACAUGAGUCAUGGAAGGAUGGAAAGCAAGAUGGAAAAAACGGAUUGGUGCAGCGCUUCUGAUGCUAUGGUUAUCAUCACAUUUUACCAUGACUCUGUGAGGUGUUUACUCUGGAACAUUCAGGUGGCUUUGCAAAUUCUUUUAGAGUUUUGGGGGAUUGGAGUAUUUGAGAUUUUUAUUUGAAUUCCUGGUUGUGAAUACAGAGAGUCUUUAUUGUAAAAGAGGUAGAGAGAAUACAGGUGUUUCACUGUACACAAAAAAGACAACACUUUCAUCCAAACCAUGACUAUGAACUCACUCAUUCACAUCAGCGGCCUGUAAGUAAAGAACAAAAGCGCAAAAGACAGAGAAACAAACAUACAAAGUCUUUGGAUUUUCUCUACUGGCCUCUCACUCGCUACUAAAUGCAUCCUCUUUCGCUCUCUUCCAAUGUACUACUUUUAGUCAUAAAACAGCAAUAUAACCCAUAUAGUGUGCUUCAAAUAAUAAUAAUCGCCAUACAUACUGCACACACACACACACACACACACACACACUCAAUAACAUGUCGUGCAGUCAUUCUCAACUGGUGGGUUGCUACCCGGAGUCGGUCUCUUUGCCUGGGAAAGUGGACCAAAGAAGAAAAACCCCCAGAAACUAAUUUUCCUGUGAGAGAUUUCUUGAUGCAGCGACGUCUUUGAACGUCUGUUGUUGAGGCGUAGAAAGUACCAGCCGUGUAAGUGCAAUGUGCAUUUUAGUUGUCCAUUUCAUCGUCAUAUUUGCAUCUGUUUGAAAGCGCCCUGUCAAAUAGCAAAUGCAGGGAUUUUCAAUGGAAAUGAGCGCUAGGUUAUGUUCUGCAGCCAAACCAGUUGAGAAGCACUGAUGCGGAGGAUAGCCACGCCCCCCUGCUGACUGAUGGUAGAAUGAAAUCAGCACGCACACGACACGCGUUCACUCAGCUGAUGGCCCAAACAGCAAAACAACCACCAGAGCAAAGUGGACAGAAAAAGAAAAAGAACGCAUCUUAUCAAAAAUCAAACAGCAUAAAAAGCAAC